Thalassophryne amazonica is the source of this 665-nucleotide long non-coding RNA. RefSeq lists it as uncharacterized. The record is from RefSeq and is a predicted model, not a curated record. The transcript is spliced from 3 exons. Lineage: Eukaryota; Metazoa; Chordata; Actinopteri; Batrachoidiformes; Batrachoididae.
CUGGAAGACAUAUAUUCAGUGUGCUCAGCUGCUCAUUAAAGCAAAUAUUUUAUCAGCCAAUCACACUGCAGAAACUCAUUGCAUUGAGAAAUGUGGACAUGGUUAAGGGGACCUGCUGUAGUUCAAACCAAGUAUCAGAACAGGGAAAGAACAGCGACCUAAAUGACUCUGAAUGUGACUUGGUUGCUGGUGCCAGACGGGCUGGUUGAGUAGUCCGCAAGCUGUUAAUCUGUUGGGAGUUUCAUGCACAACCAUCUCCAGGGUUUCCAGAGAAAUGUUUCAGAAAGAAGAAACAUCCAGCAAGAAGUGCUUCUCUGAACAACAACAACAAAAAAAACCCCUACACCGUUAAUGGCGGACUGGUUUGAGCUGAUACGAAAGCACCAAUAACUCAAAUAACUUGUUACAAUCAAGGUAUUCAGAGGAGCAUCUCUGAAUGUGGAACGCACUACCUUCUAUCAGCUACGAACAGGAAACUAUGGUAGUAGUGAGCACAGCUCACCACAACUGGAAAAUGGGACAUUGGGAAAAAUAUGGCCUGGUGUGAUGAUUUUUGAUUUCUGCUUCGACAUUCAGAUGGUUGGGUCAGAACUUGGCAAAAACAACCUGAAAGCAUGGAUCCAUUCUGUACUGCAUUCAAGAUGGUGGCGGUGUAUUGUUUAAUA